UAGGGAAUCUUCCGCAAUGGACGAAAGUCUGAUGGAGCAACGCCGCGUGAGUGAUGAAGGUUUUCGGAUCGUAAAACUCUGUUGUUAGGGAAGAACAAGUGCCGUUCGAAUAGGGCGGUACCUUGACGGUACCUAACCAGAAAGCCACGGCUAACUACGUG
Molecule: ribosomal RNA, 161 nt
Filed under: uncultured Bacillus sp.
Lineage: Bacteria; Bacillati; Bacillota; Bacilli; Caryophanales; Bacillaceae
Description: partial 16S ribosomal RNA
Rfam family: Bacterial small subunit ribosomal RNA
Source: RNAcentral